GCCCCACUCCUUUCCCAGGUUUGCUCCAACUGAGUGCUAAAGAGUGGUUUUCCCGUGGUGGUGUGGGGAAUGAGCAGUGGGAGAAGAAGAAGUGUAGAGAAGCCCAGAGUCUAAGGUCACAUCUACCCCAAACAACAAACUCUUAUUCCACUUUAUCAGUCAUGACUUCCUGCAAAAAAAUCAUGGAAACUCGUUUGUUACCGGUACCAACCUCACAGAUCUACAGUUCCCACCAGUCUCAACAAACCAUAGUUCCCAGGAUUCUCCAGGUAUCUCCUGCCUCACAGCUGACCAAACUGUCAGAGCAAGCCUUCUCACGGAAGGAACCAUCCAACCCUGUCUGAUGAAAAAGUGGAUGAGUUUGU
Molecule: long non-coding RNA, 365 nt
Organism: Podarcis raffonei (Aeolian wall lizard)
Lineage: Eukaryota; Metazoa; Chordata; Lepidosauria; Squamata; Lacertidae
Exons: 3
Source: RefSeq, a predicted model, not a curated record